AAUCUUUCCUUCACUUUUCAGGUAUGAAAAGUGAGAAAUUUGUAUCGGUUGGCUAGCGUUCCUUCGUCUUCUCCUUCGACUGGUACUGUUGUUAAAUGGCAGAAACCAGUAGCUGGUUUUCCAAAGCUUAAUGUGGACGCAACUACAAAUGCUGGUCCCCAUUGUUUUGGAGUUGUUACGGUGGUGCGAGACUCUUUUGGUUUUGUUGCUGGUGCUUGUCCUCGUCUGGUUGGUCAUUACUCUCCUGCUGAUCACGGGUAUUCGAAAGGCUUUGAGUUGGGUGAAGAGUAAAAGGUGGUCCCAAGUUGUGAUUGAAUCAGAUACAUUGACUGCUAUUUCGGCUAUCAAUAGCCCAGUUGUGAUCGAAUGGUGUAGCUAAUUCUUGCACAAGCUACCCAUUCUAUGUCAGGCUGGGGGGAAUGGCUAGAUUUACCUCCUCCAUUCAUUGUUAAUGCUCUUGUAUUUUG
RNAcentral lists this unclassified non-coding RNA (467 nucleotides) under Hevea brasiliensis (rubber tree). The record is from RNAcentral. Lineage: Eukaryota; Viridiplantae; Streptophyta; Magnoliopsida; Malpighiales; Euphorbiaceae.